This 115-nucleotide ribosomal RNA is filed under the name Enterobacter bugandensis. RNAcentral's name for it is "partial 23S ribosomal RNA". It matches the Rfam family "Bacterial large subunit ribosomal RNA", at positions 2800 to 2925 of the family's 2925-position model. Lineage: Bacteria; Pseudomonadati; Pseudomonadota; Gammaproteobacteria; Enterobacterales; Enterobacteriaceae. The record is from RNAcentral.
UGAGACUUUAAGUCUCCUGAAGGAACGUUGAAGACGACGACGUUGAUAGGCCGGGUGUGUAAGCGCAGCGAUGCGUUGAGCUAACAGGUACUAAUGAACCGUGAGGCUUAACCUU